AGAGUUUGAUCAUGGCUCAGGACGAACGCUGGCGGCGUGCUUAACACAUGCAAGUCGAACGGUGAAGCCCCUUCGGGGGUGGAUCAGUGGCGAACGGGUGAGUAACACGUGAGCAACCUGCCCCUGACUCCGGGAUAACUCCGGGAAACCGGUGCUAAUACUGGAUAUGACGUACGAGGGCAUCCUCUGUGCGUGGAAAGUUUUUCGGUUGGGGAUGGGCUCGCGGCCUAUCAGCUUGUUGGUGGGGUGAUGGCCUACCAAGGCGACGACGGGUAGCCGGCCUGAGAGGGCGACCGGCCACACUGGGACUGAGACACGGCCCAGACUCCUACGGGAGGCAGCAGUGGGGAAUAUUGCGCAAUGGGCGAAAGCCUGACGCAGCGACGCCGCGUGAGGGAUGAAGGCCUUCGGGUCGUAAACCUCUUUCAGCAGGGAAGAAGCGCAAGUGACGGUACCUGCAGAAGAAGCACCGGCUAACUACGUGCCAGCAGCCGCGGUAAUACGUAGGGUGCAAGCGUUGUCCGGAAUUAUUGGGCGUAAAGAGCUCGUAGGCGGUUUGUCGCGUCUGCUGUGAAAACUCAGGGCUUAACUCUGAGCUUGCAGUGGGUACGGGCAGACUAGAGUGCGGUAGGGGAGACUGGAAUUCCUGGUGUAGCGGUGAAAUGCGCAGAUAUCAGGAGGAACACCGGUGGCGAAGGCGGGUCUCUGGGCCGCUACUGACGCUGAGGAGCGAAAGCAUGGGGAGCGAACAGGAUUAGAUACCCUAGUAGUCC
This 773-nucleotide ribosomal RNA is filed under the name uncultured bacterium. RNAcentral's name for it is "bacterial SSU rRNA". It matches the Rfam family "Bacterial small subunit ribosomal RNA", at positions 8 to 796 of the family's 1533-position model. The record is from RNAcentral.